This is a long non-coding RNA of Macaca mulatta (Rhesus monkey), 3287 nucleotides long. NCBI's taxonomy places the organism in Eukaryota, Metazoa, Chordata, Mammalia, Primates, Cercopithecidae. The record is from Ensembl.
CCCCCUUGACCUCCUAAAGUGCUGGGAUUACAGGUGUGAGCCAUGGCGCCCGGCCACCAAGUUCAUUUAAAUUAUCAGCUCUCAUGUGAACUCACAGAGCAAGAACUCAUUUAUUACCAAGGGGAGGGCACCAAGCCAUUCAUGAGGGAUCUGCCCCCAUGACCGAAACACCUCCCACCAGGCGCCACAUUCAACAUUGGGGAUCACAUUUCAACAUGAAAUUUGAAGGGAAAAACAUCCAAACCAUAUCAGGUUGCAUCACUUCACAGUGACCUGGCUGAAGAGAAUGGACAUUUACCAGCUUUACUCCUUCCAGAUGCCAGGGAAGUUGCACUUCUCCCAAACCAUUUGAGGUUGGAUGUUGCUGCACGAGUUGCUUUGGCCAUUAAAACGUAGCAGAAACAAUGUGGGUCACUUCCAUUUUUAAGGGCCAGUGAAUGAUUUGCCUCUUUCUCUCUGGCGUAUGUGUUGAAUGAUCACCUCCUGAGUGCCAGGGAAAGGAGAUCAGGCAGUCCAUGAACAGGUGCACGGAGAUAUGGCAGGGUCUUAGAUUAACCACUCAAAUCACCAUAGACCGCAGGUAUCAAGCCAACAUUCAGAGGUGAAUAUUUUUAGGUGGAGUUUCCUGUCAGUCCAAAAUGCCUUUACGAUGUCUCUUUGAUGGAUCUGACUCAGGACGAUGGACUGAACACCCACAUCCACUACUACCCAUCCCGAAUUUCUUUAAGGUGGAGGAAGUCUCUGAAGAUGAAUUCCAAAACGGAAGAGGAGGGGACUGGAUCCAAGACAUCAGAGACUAGACAGGACCAAGAGCUCUUGAAGGACGGUCUCCAGGAACACAGCAUAGAAAGUGGACUCCACAACUGGAAGAACUUGAAGACAGGAAAAAGGCACAGAAGGAAAGAUUAUAAAUAAACAGUUUUACCCUAGGUAAAACAAAACACUGGAUGAGAAAGCCGUGAACACAUAUGAAUAGAAACAAGAAGUCAAUGGGCCUUAAGGGGGAAAAAAAAGGAUUCUUAGCCAUUGAAAGAAAAAGAGAUUAGAAAAUUUUAGAGGGCUGGUAUUUGUUUCCUAUCUUCCCUCUACCCCUUCCCUCCACACUGUGAAGAAAGGCAUUCAGAAUCCCAGGAUUAAAAAGAAAGAGAGAAAGGAAGGGAGGAAAAAAGGAAAGAAGGAAGGAAAGGAAGGAAGGAAGGAAGGAAGGAAGGAAGGAAGGAAGGAAGGAAGGAAGGAGGGAAGGAAGAAAAGGAAGGAGGGAGGAAAGAAGGGAGAAUGGGCAAAAUAUAUGAUAGGUGAGGUCCAGAAUAUGCAAAUUUGUUGCAUGUUUUCAGUCAUUGGUAGAAUAUGAGAAAAGAGAAUCUGUAUGUGAGCAUUUAAAAUAUACAUUUGAGGCCGGGCGCGGUGGCUCAAGCCUGUAAUCCCAGCACUUUGGGAGGCCGAGGCGGGCGGAUCACGAGGUCAGGAGAUCGAGACCAUCCUGGCUGACACGGUGAAACCCCGUCUCUACUAAAAAAUACAAAAAACUAGCCAGGCGAGGUGGUGGGCGCCUGUAGUCCCAGCUACUGGGGAGGCUGAGGCAGGAGAAUUGCGUGAACCCGGGAGGCGGAGCCUGCAGUGAGCUGAGAUCCGGCCACUGCACUCCAGCCUGGGCGGCAGAGCGAGACUCCGUCUCAAAAAAAAAAAAAAAAAAAAAAAAAAAAAUUUUCCUUUGAAUUUUUAUCAAGGUGAUACAAACCCGUACUUAACAAAAAAAUUAAGCACCACUAAUAAUCAUAUGAUGAUACACAGUGGUCUCUUGCCCCACACCCCCUAUUUUACUUUCUCAUGCCCCAGAGGAAAUCUCUAUUCUUCUAAGUUAUUUUUGACAUUUAUUUCCAUAUUUCCAAAGAACAUUUCUUAUAUUGGUGCUUGUGGAUUUAUUAAUUUUAGACAAUAUGUUUAACUUCCUUUUAUGACAAGUGAGACUUAGCUUUCUUACCUGGUACCUUCCCCAGCAGGGUACAUGCACUGCCUCUGCCACACUGUCCCAACAGUGUGUUUGGGUCCUAAAGUUAACUUAAAUCAUUGGUUUAUCUUAAUAUCAUCGCACCUAUGUAGACAUUGUCCACUCUUGGGCUAAGAGGUGUCUGUUCCAUGUUUACAUUUUCUUUUUCACUUUAAACAUUUUUCCUGAAAUUAUUGACUGUUUUUUUCAUUGCUUUGAUUUCCUUUUUAUCUGAGCUCAUUUCUUCAAUAUGAUCAAUCUGAUAGCCUAUUUUAUAUUUCUUUUGCAAACCCAUCUUGAAUGUGCAUGUCUACCUGCUCCACCCUGCGUUGUCUGCACCCAGGCCUGCUGCACAGCUGUCAUUCAGGAUAUUCUCAGGCUGGAAUAUCCUGAGUGACAGCUAUGUAUGAGGCCUGGAUCAGGCUUUAUUUCCUGGAUCCAAUGCUGUGCUGUAGACAUGUGCUGUAGAAUGUGCCGGUAGACAUGCACAUUCCUUUUAUGACAAGUGAGACUUAGCUUUCUUACCUGCUUGACUUUGCUUUCGGUCUAACAUCAUUUUCGUAGUCUAAAAUAAACAUAAAAUAAACAGCAAGUAAUAAGUCAUCAGAAAAAAAAAUAAAGUGAGAAAUGCCCGUUAAAAUGAUGUAUAACAUAACCAUAUAUAUUUAAGAAUGUAUUCCAAUAUCAAAUGGCAAAUUCCAACAAUGCAGAAAACAUAAUUACUUUUGCACCAACGUAAUAUUUUCAGUGAAAACCUAGUGAUGUCUGAGCAUUGAGUAAUUGAAGAUUGAAACCAAGAAUUUACUGUAAUUAACACAGAAUUCAUGUAAAGGAUAGUAUUAAUUUCUACUAAAACAGAUGCAGUAUAUGGAAGAACACAUAGACAGAAACACAACCGAGUGCUAAAAGAAAAGUGUCUCUGCUAUUGAAACUAGCUAAGGAUUCCACCAACUUACUGUGGGGAGGGAUUGGGGUUAACCUCAGAAUUGUGCCAUGUCUUAAUUAGAGCUUUUAAAAGAUAUAGUCAUAGGAAAUUAACUGCAUAAAUCUUAACUGCACAAAUCAUUCUACAGUGAGAAUUCAUCAUUUUCAAAGAAUUUGUCUUUAUAAAAGUCAAAAUACGACUUUAUAAAGUCGUAAUCGUUAUUUUUCACUGAGUUUUUCUAAGUACUAAAUGUUGCAUUUAUGCAUUAUGUAUAUAGGCUCACAUUAAAUAUAUCUCAUGUAUAUGUGCAGAUUAUUAAAUAUAUAAAAUCACUCAGAAUUUUGAGAUUAUCCUCACUUUAUGCUUUAAGAAACU